UAUGGGCUGGCUCAGUGGUAGAGUGCUUGCCUUGCAUGCAUGAGGCCCUGGGUUCGAUUUCUCAGCACCACAU
Non-coding RNA from Dipodomys ordii (Ord's kangaroo rat), 73 nucleotides. Lineage: Eukaryota; Metazoa; Chordata; Mammalia; Rodentia; Heteromyidae. The record is from Rfam.